This 78-nucleotide transfer RNA is filed under the name Ensifer meliloti. RNAcentral's name for it is "Sinorhizobium meliloti tRNA-Asp". It matches the Rfam family "tRNA". Rfam says of the family: Transfer RNA (tRNA) molecules are approximately 80 nucleotides in length. Their secondary structure includes four short double-helical elements and three loops (D, anti-codon, and T loops). Lineage: Bacteria; Pseudomonadati; Pseudomonadota; Alphaproteobacteria; Hyphomicrobiales; Rhizobiaceae. The record is from RNAcentral.
GCGGGUGUAGCUCAGUUCGGUUAGAGUGCCGGCCUGUCACGCCGGAGGUCGCGGGUUCGAGCCCCGUCACUCGCGCCA